CCUACGGGAGGCAGCAGUGGGGAAUCUUGCACAAUGGGGGAAACCCUGAUGCAGCGACGCCGCGUGAGUGAAGAAGUAUCUCGGUACGUAAAGCUCUAUCAGCAGGGAAGAAAAUGACGGUACCUGACUAAGAAGCCUCGGCUAACUACGUGCCAGCAGCCGCGGUAAUACGUAGGGGGCAAGCGUUAUCCGGAUUUACUGGGUGUAAAGGGAGCGGAGACGGCAGCACAAGUCUGGAGUGAAAUCCCGGGGCUUAACCCCGGAACUGCUUUGGAAACUGGGCGGCUGGAGUGCAGGAGGGGUAAGCGGAAUUCCUAGUGUAGCGGUGAAAUGCGUAGAUAUUAGGAGGAACACCAGUGGCGAAGGCGGCUUACUGGACUGUAACUGACGUUGAGGCUCGAAAGCGUGGGGAGCAAACAGGAUUAGAUACCCGUGUAGUC
This 440-nucleotide ribosomal RNA is filed under the name uncultured bacterium. RNAcentral describes it as "partial 16S ribosomal RNA". It matches the Rfam family "Bacterial small subunit ribosomal RNA", at positions 338 to 795 of the family's 1533-position model. The record is from RNAcentral.